AUUGAACGCUGGCGGCAUGCCUUACACAUGCAAGUCGAACGGUAACAGGUCUUCAGAUGCUGACGAGUGGCGAACGGGUGAGUAAUACAUCGGAACGUGCCCAGACGUGGGGGAUAACGAGGCGAAAGCUUUGCUAAUACCGCAUACGAUCUAAGGAUGAAAGCAGGGGACCGCAAGGCCUUGCGCGUUUGGAGCGGCCGAUGGCAGAUUAGGUAGUUGGUGGGAUAAAAGCUUACCAAGCCGACGAUCUGUAGCUGGUCUGAGAGGACGACCAGCCACACUGGGACUGAGACACGGCCCAGACUCCUACGGGAGGCAGCAGUGGGGAAUUUUGGACAAUGGGCGAAAGCCUGAUCCAGCAAUGCCGCGUGCAGGAUGAAGGCCUUCGGGUUGUAAACUGCUUUUGUACGGAACGAAAAGGCUCUGGCUAAUACCUGGGGCACAUGACGGUACCGUAAGAAUAAGCACCGGCUAACUACGUG
This 482-nucleotide ribosomal RNA is filed under the name uncultured bacterium. RNAcentral describes it as "partial 16S ribosomal RNA". It matches the Rfam family "Bacterial small subunit ribosomal RNA", at positions 30 to 507 of the family's 1533-position model. The record is from RNAcentral.